CCCUCGGGCCCCAGGCGCUCUCCAAGGGCGCAGCGCCGCUCGCUGCCCGCGGCCCGGCCGUGGCCGGCGCUGCUCCUGCCCGGGGCAGGGCCCGGGGCCCGGGGCGGGUGUGUCGGGGCGGGCAGAGGCGCCGGCGCUGCCCCGGCGAGGCGGGGCCGGGCGGGAGCGGCCCGAGCGCGGCUCCGCUCGGCUCCUGUGCGGCUGCCGCGGAGCCGGGGCCGGGCACGAUGGCGGCCGGGCUGGGGCCGGGGCUGCUGGCCUUGGCCUUGGCCUGGUGGCCGGCAGGGCUCUGGGCACAGCCGAGGCUGCAGGAGGCCGGCGGAGGGCUGCGAGCGCCCGGGGACUCCGUGACCCUCUCCUGCCGCGGGUCCGGAUUCACCUUCAAGUAUUGUAAUGUUCGGUGGUACCGUCAGGCACCCAGGAGCCGGCGGGAGUGGGUGUCCGUAAUCACCGCCGACGGUACAAAGGACUACGGGUCAGCAGUGAAGGGUCGGGCCACGAUUUCCCGGGACAAUUCCCGGUCCGAGGCUUAUCUCUCAUUGCGGUCCCUGCAAGCUCAGGACUCUGCCCGGUACUUCUGUGCCAUCCCACGGGAGCAGGAAAUGCAGAUGAGCUUUAACACAAACCCUCCGGGCUCUGGCAGAGGUUGUGUUAGAUGUGGGGAAGGUGAGAGUUCCCUGGGGCCGGGAGCUGAUGGGUCUUAAGGCUGUUUCCAACAAGCCAGGUGUCAUCACUGGCCUUUACUGCACACUGCCGGGAUUGUGAUUUAUUGGUAAUUUGAUUAGGAGUGGAAUUGUGAGUAAAUAAAAAACACCUUGCUCCCACUUUAUCCCUGUUUGCUCCCAGGCUCAUUCUCAAAGCAGCAUUCCUGAAUUCUCUGCCUCUUCUCUCCUAAUAGUAAAGGGAUAACAGGAAAUCAUGUGUGGGAUCAUUUCUUUGCAAUUAAUCACUGGCCUUCCUCUCUAGUGCUUCUUGUCCCCUUCCUGCCCCAGUCUGCAGUCAAAUGGCUGCACCAUGGCUCCUUCACAGGAGCUGCUGUCCUUCAGAAUCAGCCCUCUCCAGCCUCAGUUCUCCACAGGCUGCACUUCCCCAGUGUCAUCACCAAACAGUUUGUGAUUAUCUCCAAGCAUGGAGACUGCAGAAGGUGCCUGAGCAGCCUGUGCCAGUGGUUGGGC
Oenanthe melanoleuca is the source of this 1175-nucleotide non-coding RNA. The record is from the annotation of a RefSeq genome assembly. NCBI's taxonomy places the organism in Eukaryota, Metazoa, Chordata, Aves, Passeriformes, Muscicapidae.